GGGCCCAGGACACGAGGGAGGGUGGCCCUCAAGGACCAGCCGUGCUGUCCAGGCCAGCCUCCAGAGUGGCUCCAAUGCCUGUCAUCCACGGGCCCACUUAAUCCCCCAGCCCUGGGCCCUGGCUUACUUCCUUGAGGAUAAGCAGCAGGGGGAGCCAUGCCCUCCGCCCCCCCAGAGCUCC
Molecule: non-coding RNA, 181 nt
Organism: Ceratotherium simum simum (southern white rhinoceros)
Lineage: Eukaryota; Metazoa; Chordata; Mammalia; Perissodactyla; Rhinocerotidae
Source: RefSeq, a predicted model, not a curated record